AGGACGAACGCUGGCGGCGUGCUUAACACAUGCAAGUCGAGCGGAAAGGCCCUUCGGGGUACUCGAGCGGCGAACGGGUGAGUAACACGUGAGCAACCUGCCCUUAGCUUCGGGAUAGCUCCGGGAAACCGGAAUUAAUACCGAAUAUGACUUUGGCUGACAUCAGCAGAAGUGGAAAGUUUUUCGGCUAGGGAUGGACUCGCGGCCUAUCAGCUAGUUGGUGAGGUAACGGCCCACCAAGGCGACGACGGGUAGCCGGCCUGAGAGGGCGACCGGCCACACUGGGACUGAGACACGGCCCAGACUCCUACGGGAGGCAGCAGUGGGGAAUAUUGCGCAAUGGGCGAAAGCCUGACGCAGCGACGCCGCGUGGGGGAUGAAUGCCUUCGGGUUGUAAACCCCUUUCAGCAGGGACGAAGCGAAAGUGACGGUACCUGCAGAAGAAGCGCCGGCUAACUACGCGCCAGCAGCCGC
This 474-nucleotide ribosomal RNA is filed under the name uncultured bacterium. RNAcentral's name for it is "SSU rRNA". It matches the Rfam family "Bacterial small subunit ribosomal RNA", at positions 26 to 518 of the family's 1533-position model. The record is from RNAcentral.